UACGGAGGAUCCAAGCGUUAUCCGGAUUUAUUGGGUUUAAAGGGUGCGUAGGUGGCUUUUUAAGUCAGGGGUGAAAGACGGUAGCUUAACUAUCGCAGUGCCUUUGAUACUGAAGAGCUUGAAUGAACUAGAGGUAGGCGGAAUGUGACAAGUAGCGGUGAAAUGCAUAGAUAUGUCACAGAACACCAAUUGCGAAGGCAGCUUACUAUGGUUUUAUUGACACUGAGGCACGAAAGCGUGGGGAGCGAACAGG
This 253-nucleotide ribosomal RNA is filed under the name uncultured bacterium. RNAcentral describes it as "partial 16S ribosomal RNA". It matches the Rfam family "Bacterial small subunit ribosomal RNA", at positions 524 to 776 of the family's 1533-position model. The record is from RNAcentral.